Molecule: ribosomal RNA, 443 nt
Filed under: uncultured bacterium
Lineage: Bacteria
Description: SSU rRNA
Rfam family: Bacterial small subunit ribosomal RNA
Source: RNAcentral
AGAGCGAACGCUGGCGGCAGGCUUAACACAUGCAAGUCGAGCGCCCCGCAAGGGGGAGCGGCAGACGGGAGAGUAACACGUGGGAACGUACCUUUCGGUUCGGAACAACCCAGGGAAACUUGGGCUAAUACCGGAUACGCCCGUAAGGGGAAAGAUUUAUCGCCGGAAGAUCGGCCCGCGUCUGAUUAGCUAGUUGGUGAGGUAACGGCUCACCAAGGCGACGAUCAGUAGCUGGUCUGAGAGGAUGAUCAGCCUCACUGGGACUGAGACACGGCCCAGACUCCUACGGGAGGCAGCAGUGGGGAAUAUUGGACAAUGGGCGCAAGCCUGAUCCAGCCAUGCCGCGUGAGUGAUGAAGGCCCUAGGGUUGUAAAGCUCUUUUGUGCGGGAAGAUAAUGACGGUACCGCAAGAAUAAGCCCGGCUAACUCGCGCCAGCAGCCGC